Molecule: ribosomal RNA, 485 nt
Filed under: Pseudomonas sp. CL1.40
Lineage: Bacteria; Pseudomonadati; Pseudomonadota; Gammaproteobacteria; Pseudomonadales; Pseudomonadaceae
Also listed under: 2 other names
Description: bacterial SSU rRNA
Rfam family: Bacterial small subunit ribosomal RNA
Source: RNAcentral
CCCUGGCUCAGAUUGAACGCUGGCGGCAGGCCUAACACAUGCAAGUCGAGCGGAUGACAGGAGCUUGCUCCUGAAUUCAGCGGCGGACGGGUGAGUAAUGCCUAGGAAUCUGCCUGGUAGUGGGGGACAACGUUUCGAAAGGAACGCUAAUACCGCAUACGUCCUACGGGAGAAAGCAGGGGACCUUCGGGCCUUGCGCUAUCAGAUGAGCCUAGGUCGGAUUAGCUAGUUGGUGAGGUAAUGGCUCACCAAGGCGACGAUCCGUAACUGGUCUGAGAGGAUGAUCAGUCACACUGGAACUGAGACACGGUCCAGACUCCUACGGGAGGCAGCAGUGGGGAAUAUUGGACAAUGGGCGAAAGCCUGAUCCAGCCAUGCCGCGUGUGUGAAGAAGGUCUUCGGAUUGUAAAGCACUUUAAGUUGGGAGGAAGGGCAUUAACCUAAUACGUUAGUGUUUUGACGUUACCGACAGAAUAAGCACCGGC